This 486-nucleotide ribosomal RNA is filed under the name uncultured bacterium. RNAcentral describes it as "partial 16S ribosomal RNA". It matches the Rfam family "Bacterial small subunit ribosomal RNA", at positions 29 to 507 of the family's 1533-position model. The record is from RNAcentral.
AUUGAACGCUGGCGGCAUGCUUUACACAUGCAAGUCGAGCGGCAGCGCGGGGGCAACCCUGGCGGCGAGCGGCGAACGGGUGAGUAAUGCAUCGGAACGUAUCCUCGAGUGGGGGAUAACCCAGCGAAAGUUGGGCUAAUACCGCAUGAGCUCUGAGGAGGAAAGCGGGGGACCUGCGAGGGCCUCGCGCUGGAGGAGCGGCCGAUGUCCGAUUAGCUAGUUGGUGGGGUAAAGGCUUACCAAGGCGACGAUCGGUAGCUGGUCUGAGAGGAUGAUCAGCCACACUGGGGCUGAGACACGGCACAGAGUCCGACGGGAGGCAGCAGUGGGGAAUUUUGGACAAUGGGGGCAACCCUGAUCCAGCCAUGCCGCGUGAGUGAAGAAGGCCUUCGGGUUGUAAAGCUCUUUCGGAGGGAACGAAAUGGGCGGGACUAAUACUCCUGUCGGAUGACGGUACCGGAAGAAGAAGCACCGGCUAACUACGUG